RNAcentral lists this transfer RNA (73 nucleotides) under Agrilus planipennis (emerald ash borer). It matches the Rfam family "tRNA". Rfam says of the family: Transfer RNA (tRNA) molecules are approximately 80 nucleotides in length. Their secondary structure includes four short double-helical elements and three loops (D, anti-codon, and T loops). Lineage: Eukaryota; Metazoa; Arthropoda; Insecta; Coleoptera; Buprestidae. The record is from Rfam by way of RNAcentral.
UCUCUCGCAGCUUAAUGGUUAGAGUAUUGGUGAGUAAAGCCAACGGUCCCGGGUUCGAUUCUCGGCGGGGGGU